GGUAAUGUCUGGGAAACUGCCUGAUGGAGGGGGAUAACUACUGGAAACGGUAGCUAAUACCGCAUAAUGUCGCAAGACCAAAGAGGGGGACCUUCGGGCCUCUUGCCAUCGGAUGUGCCCAGAUGGGAUUAGCUAGUAGGUGGGGUAACGGCUCACCUAGGCGACGAUCCCUAGCUGGUCUGAGAGGAUGACCAGCCACACUGGAACUGAGACACGGUCCAG
This 222-nucleotide ribosomal RNA is filed under the name uncultured bacterium. Its description in RNAcentral is "partial 16S ribosomal RNA". It matches the Rfam family "Bacterial small subunit ribosomal RNA", at positions 109 to 334 of the family's 1533-position model. The record is from RNAcentral.